AUAAGGAGGGGGCAAGCGUUGUUCGGAAUUAUUGGGGGUAAAGAGCAUGUAGGGGGACUAUUAAGUCUGGUGUGAAAGCCCGGGGCUCAACCCCGGAAGUGCAUUGGAUACUGGUAGUCUUGAGUAUGGGAGAGGAAAGUGGAAUUCCGAGUGUAGGAGUGAAAUCCGUAGAUAUUCGGAGGAACACCAGUGGCGAAGGCGGCUUUCUGGACCAAUACUGACGCUGAGAUGCGAAAGCGUGGGGAGCGAACAGGAUUAGAAACCCUAGUAGUCC
RNAcentral lists this ribosomal RNA (274 nucleotides) under uncultured bacterium. Its description in RNAcentral is "partial 16S ribosomal RNA". It matches the Rfam family "Bacterial small subunit ribosomal RNA", at positions 523 to 796 of the family's 1533-position model. The record is from RNAcentral.